This 685-nucleotide ribosomal RNA is filed under the name Coccomyces quercicola. RNAcentral's name for it is "SSU rRNA". It matches the Rfam family "Bacterial small subunit ribosomal RNA", at positions 349 to 963 of the family's 1533-position model. The record is from RNAcentral. Lineage: Eukaryota; Fungi; Ascomycota; Leotiomycetes; Rhytismatales; Rhytismataceae.
CAGCAGUCAAGAAUAUUAGUCAAUGGCCUAACGGCUGAACCAGCAACUUGGGAGAAUGUAUAGUCCUCUUAUGAGGCUAGUUAUCAUACAAAAGAAAAUGCCCUAAUUUUUGAAAGUACUAAAUACUUUCAAACCUUAGAGUAAGUCUAAUAUACAAAAUAGAGAUAUUAAUAGUAUGAUAAGACCAACUACGUUGGAUAAAGUUCUAGAUAGAAUACUGAUAAUGACAAUUUUUUAUCUAAAUGUCUUGACCAAAUUACGUGCCAGCAGUCGCGGUAACACGUAGAAGACUAGUGUUAUUCAUCUUUAAUAGGUUUAAAGGGUACCUAGACGGCAUUAUUAACCUUAGACAAGGAAAUGUUUUAUGCUAGAGUUUUAUACGAGAAGGGGAGAAUUUAUAGAGUAGCGAUAAAAUGCUGUCAUACUAUAAGGACUGGCAAUGGCGAAAGCGACCUUUUAUGUAAAAACUGACGUUGAGGGACGGAGGCAUGGUUAGCGAACAGGAUUAGAUACCCUAGUAGUCCUUGCAGAGAAUGAUGAAUGCCAUAGAUUAGAUAUUAAUUUGGUUUAUAAAUUAAAGUGUAAGCAUUCCACCUCAUGAGUAAUGUGGCAACGCAGGAACUGAAAUCAUUAGACCGUUUCUGAGAACAGUAGUGAAGUAUGUUAUUUAAUUCGAUAAUCCGCA